AUUGAACGCUGGCGGCAGGCCUAACACAUGCAAGUCGAACGGUAACAGAAAGCAGCUUGCUGCUUUGCUGACGAGUGGCGGACGGGUGAGUAAUGUCUGGGAAACUGCCUGAUGGAGGGGGAUAACUACUGGAAACGGUAGCUAAUACCGCAUAACGUCGCAAGACCAAAGAGGGGGACCUUCGGGCCUCUUGCCAUCGGAUGUGCCCAGAUGGGAUUAGCUAGUAGGUGGGGUAAAGGCUCACCUAGGCGACGAUCCCUAGCUGGUCUGAGAGGAUGACCAGCCACACUGGAACUGAGACACGGUCCAGACUCCUACGGGAGGCAGCAGUGGGGAAUAUUGCACAAUGGGCGCAAGCCUGAUGCAGCCAUGCCGCGUGUAUGAAGAAGGCCUUCGGGUUGUAAAGUACUUUCAGCGGGGAGGAAGGGAGUAAAGUUAAUACCUUUGCUCAUUGACGUUACCCGCAGAAGAAGCACCGGCUAACUCCGU
Molecule: ribosomal RNA, 489 nt
Filed under: uncultured bacterium
Lineage: Bacteria
Description: partial 16S ribosomal RNA
Rfam family: Bacterial small subunit ribosomal RNA
Source: RNAcentral